AGUUAAGAUACAAAGGGCAUACGGUGGAUGCCUUGGCGAUAUCAGCCGACGAAGGACGCGAUCAGCUGCGAAAAGCUGCGGUGAGCCGCAAGUAGGCGUUGACCCGCAGAUAUCCGAAUGGAGCAAUCCGGCAGCAGCAGUGCUGUCAUCCCUAUUCGACCGAAUAGGGAAGGGAACCCGGUGAACUGAAACAUCUAAGUAGCCGGAGGAAAAGAAAUCAAACGAGAUACCCCAAGUAGCGGCGAGCGAACGGGGCAGACGCCCAAACCGAUAAAGGAAACUUUAACGGGGUAGAGGACCCGGUAACAAUGCCACGAAUUUAGCCGAAGAGUACUGGAACGUACCGCCGAAGACGGUGAAAGCCCGGUAGGCGAAAGAGGAGUGGCAGGACUGGGAAUCCGGAGUACCGCGGGACACGAGAAACCCCGCGGGAAGCAGGGGGGACCACCCUCCAAGGCAAAACACUGAUAUCGACCGAUAGCGCAUAGUACCGUGAGGGAAAGGUGAAAAGCACCCCGGGAGGGGAGUGAAAGAGAACCUGAAACCGUAUGUUUACAAACAGUCGAAGCACGUUAUGAAUCGUGCGACGGCGUGCCUAUUGAAGAAUGAACCGGCGAGUUACUACUACUGGCAAGGUUAAGGAGGAAAUCCGGAGCCGCAGCGAAAGCGAGUCUGAACAGGGCGCAAGUCAGUAAGAGUAGACCCGAAACCACAGUGAUCUACCCAUGUCCAGAUUGAAACACAGGUAAAAUUGUGUGGAGGAUCGAACCUAUGAGUGUUGAAAAACUUUAGGAUGAGAUGUGGGUAGGGGUGAAAUUCCAAUCGAACGUGGAGAUAGCUGGUUCUCCCCGAAAUAUCUUUAGGGAUAGCCUUAAGGAGAGACUAUAGGCGGUAGAGCACUGAUCGGGCUAGGGACCAAACCGGUUACUGAACCCAGUCAAACUACGAAUGGCUAUAGUUAUACUUAGGAGUCAGACUACGAGUGAUAAGAUCCGUGGUCAAGAGGGAAACAGCCCAGACCAUCAGCUAAGGUCCCCAAUGCCGUGCUAAGUGGGAAAGGAUGUAGCAUUUCACAAACAACCAGGAUGUUGGCUUAGAAGCAGCCAUCAUUAAAAGAGUGCGUAAUAGCUCACUGGUCGAGAGACGCUGCGCCGAAAAUACCCGGGGCUCAAGCACGGAACCGAAGCUAUGGCAUGCGUAAGCAUGGGUAGGGGAGCGUUCUGCAUAGGUAGAAGCAUGACCGUAAGGACAUGUGGACAGUGCAGAAGUGAGAAUGCCGGUAUGAGUAUCGAAAAGAAUGGUGAGAAUCCAUUCCACCGAAAGCCUAAGGGUUCCUGAGCAACGAUCGUCGGCUCAGGGUAAGUCGGGACCUAAGCCGAGGCGAAGACGCAUAGGCGAUGGACAACAGGUUGAAAUUCCUGUACUGACGUUAUUUGUUUGAGCAAUGGAGUGACACAGGAAGGUACAGCAGCACGCGACUGGAAGAGCGUGUCUAAGCGCGUACGUUGGUAACGAGGCAAAUCCCGUUACCUGAAAGCGGAGGCGUGAUGGGGAGACAUUGGAAACAAUGGGGAACUGCUGGAUCCUCGACUGUCGAGAAAAGCUUCUAGUGAGAAUGAUGUCACCCGUACCAAAACCGACACAGGUAGGCGAGAAGAGAAUUCUAAGGUGCGCGGGAAAACCCUACGUUAAGGAACUCGGCAAAAUGCAUCCGUAACUUCGGGAAAAGGAUGACCUUCGGUACGUAACGACCAG
This 1755-nucleotide ribosomal RNA is filed under the name Staphylococcus epidermidis. RNAcentral describes it as "partial 23S ribosomal RNA". It matches the Rfam family "Bacterial large subunit ribosomal RNA", at positions 1 to 1772 of the family's 2925-position model. The record is from RNAcentral. Lineage: Bacteria; Bacillati; Bacillota; Bacilli; Caryophanales; Staphylococcaceae.